CCUACGGGCGGCAGCAGUGGGGAAUAUUGGACAAUGGGGGCAACCCUGAUCCAGCCAUGCCGCGUGUGUGAAGAAGGCCCUCGGGUUGUAAAGCACUUUCAGUGAGGAAGAACGCCUGGUGGUUAAUACCCAUCAGGAAAGACAUCACUCACAGAAGAAGCACCGGCUAACUCCGUGCCAGCAGCCGCGGUAAUACGGAGGGUGCGAGCGUUAAUCGGAAUUACUGGGCGUAAAGCGCGCGUAGGUGGCUUGAUAAGCCGGUUGUGAAAGCCCCGGGCUCAACCUGGGAACGGCAUCCGGAACUGUCAAGCUAGAGUGUAGGAGAGGAAGGUAGAAUUCCCGGUGUAGCGGUGAAAUGCGUAGAGAUCGGGAGGAAUACCAGUGGCGAAGGCGGCCUUCUGGACUGACACUGACACUGAGGUGCGAAAGCGUGGGUAGCAAACAGGAUUAGAUACCCCUGUAGUC
Molecule: ribosomal RNA, 465 nt
Filed under: Vreelandella stevensii
Lineage: Bacteria; Pseudomonadati; Pseudomonadota; Gammaproteobacteria; Oceanospirillales; Halomonadaceae
Description: partial 16S ribosomal RNA
Rfam family: Bacterial small subunit ribosomal RNA
Source: RNAcentral